Molecule: ribosomal RNA, 253 nt
Filed under: uncultured bacterium
Lineage: Bacteria
Description: partial 16S ribosomal RNA
Rfam family: Bacterial small subunit ribosomal RNA
Source: RNAcentral
UACGAAGGGGGCUAGCGUUGUUCGGAAUUACUGGGCGUAAAGGGCGCGUAGGCGGUCUGUCAAGUUAGGUGUGAAAGCCCUGGGCUCAACCCAGGAACUGCAUUUAAGACUGGCAGGCUAGAGAUCUAGAGGGGAUAGUGGAAUUCCAAGUGUAGAGGUGAAAUUCGUAGAUAUUUGGAGGAACACCAGUGGCGAAGGCGACUAUCUGGCUAGAAUCUGACGCUGAGGCGCGAUAGCGUGGGGAGCAAACAGG